Arvicanthis niloticus (Nile rat) is the source of this 989-nucleotide non-coding RNA. NCBI's taxonomy places the organism in Eukaryota, Metazoa, Chordata, Mammalia, Rodentia, Muridae. The record is from RefSeq and is a predicted model, not a curated record.
AUGACCAAUAAUACCCUUGAGUUUGAAAACAUUUCAAUCAGGGCUAGCCAUCUGGAACUCAGCAAUGGCACCAAGAUGCCCACCCUGGGCCUGGGCACCUGGAAGUCUCCUGGCUAGGUGACUGAGGCUGUGAAAGUUGCUAUUGACAUGGGGUAUCGCCACAUUCACUGUGCCCAGGAGUCCCAGAAUGAGAAGGAGGUGGGAGUGACCCUCCUGGAGAAGGUCAAGGAGCAGGUGGCAAAGCACCAGGAUCUCUUCAUCAGCAGCAAGCUGUGGUGCACAUUCCAUGACAAGAGCAUGGUGAAAGGAGCCUGCCAGAAGACACUCAGCGACCUGCAGCUGGACUACCUGGAUCUCUACCUUAUUCACUGGCCAACAGGUUUCAAGCCUGGGCCUGAUUAUUUCCCACUGGAUGCAUCAGGAAAUGUGAUUCUUAGUGACACCAAUUUGUAGACACUUGGACGCCUAUGGAACAACUAGUUGAUGAAGGUUUUGUAAAAGCAAUUUGUGUCUCCAACUUCAACCCUCUUCAGACUGAGAAGAUCUUGAACAAACCCAGCUUAAAAUAUAAGCCUUAAUAUAAGUUAAUCAGAUUGAGUGCCACCCAUACCUAACUCAGGAGAAACUGAUUGAGUACUGCCAUUGCAAAGGCAUUGUGGUGACUGCAUACAGUCCUCUUGCUUCUCCUGACAGGCCCUGGGACAAGCCUGAAGACCCGUCUCUCCUGGAGGAUCCCAGGAUCAAGGCAAUUGCAGCCAAGUGCAAUGAAACUACAGUCCAGGUGCUGAACCGUUCCCCAUUCAGAGGAACUUGAUAGUGAUCCCCAAGUCCGUGACACCAGCACACAUUGCUGAGAACUUUAAGGUCUUUGACUUUGAGCUGAACAGCUAGGACAUGACCACUCUACUCAGCUACAACAGGAACUGGAGGGUGUGGCCUUGAUGAUCUGUGCCAAACACAAGGAUUACCCCUUCCACACAGAAGUUUGA